GACGGAAGGUGCAAGCGUUGCUCGGAAUCACUGGGCGUAAAGGGUGCGUAGGCGGCUUGGUAGGUCUGGUGUGAAAGCCCCGGGCUCAGCCCGGGAAGGGCACUAGAAACUGCCAAGCUAGAGUGCCGGAGGGGAGAGUGGAAUUCCUGGUGUAGCGGUGAAAUGCGCAGAUAUCAGGAGGAACACCGAUGGCGAAGGCAGCUCGCUGGGACGGUACUGACGCUGAGGCGCGAAAGCGUGGGGAGCAAACAGG
RNAcentral lists this ribosomal RNA (253 nucleotides) under uncultured bacterium. RNAcentral's name for it is "partial 16S ribosomal RNA". It matches the Rfam family "Bacterial small subunit ribosomal RNA", at positions 524 to 776 of the family's 1533-position model. The record is from RNAcentral.